Molecule: long non-coding RNA, 165 nt
Organism: Xiphophorus couchianus (Monterrey platyfish)
Lineage: Eukaryota; Metazoa; Chordata; Actinopteri; Cyprinodontiformes; Poeciliidae
Exons: 3
Source: RefSeq, a predicted model, not a curated record
UCUGCAAUCAAAGUGGGCUUUCCUUAAAGCCGCACCUGAUUGGACGAACAAAAUCAGGCGCAACACGAUUGGACGGCCAAGUCAGCGUAGGCGUUUCUACAGGAAACGAAGUUAACGUAUUCAGUUCGAUGUUUUUCUUUUCAUUUAAAUAUCGCUAGCUUACUU